GGGCCGCUAGCUCAGCUGGUAGAGCAACGGACUUUUAAUCCGUAGGUCCCAGGUUCGAGUCCUGGGCGGCUCACCA
This 76-nucleotide transfer RNA is filed under the name Desulfurobacterium pacificum. RNAcentral's name for it is "tRNA-Lys". It matches the Rfam family "tRNA". From Rfam's summary of the family: Transfer RNA (tRNA) molecules are approximately 80 nucleotides in length. Their secondary structure includes four short double-helical elements and three loops (D, anti-codon, and T loops). Further hydrogen bonds mediate the characteristic L-shaped molecular structure. tRNAs have two regions of fundamental functional importance: the anti-codon, which is responsible for specific mRNA codon recognition, and the 3' end, to which the tRNAs corresponding amino acid is attached (by aminoacyl-tRNA synthetases). tRNAs cope with the degeneracy of the genetic code in two manners: having more than one tRNA (with a specific anti-codon) for a particular amino acid; and 'wobble' base-pairing, i.e. permitting non-standard base-pairing at the 3rd anti-codon position. Lineage: Bacteria; Pseudomonadati; Aquificota; Aquificia; Desulfurobacteriales; Desulfurobacteriaceae. RNAcentral also lists the same sequence under 1 other name. The record is from RNAcentral.